GAGACAGCAGCCGCCGCGGUAAAACGUAGGUGGCAAGCGUUGUCCGGAAUUAUUGGGCGUAAAGGGCUCGCAGGCGGUUUCUUAAGUCUGAUGUGAAAGCCCCCGGCUCAACCGGGGAGGGUCAUUGGGAACUGGGAAACUUGAGUGCAGAAGAGGAGAGUGGAAUUCCACGUGUAGCGGUGAAAUGCGUAGAGAUGUGGAGGAACACCAGUGGCGAAGGCGACUCUCUGGUCUGUAACUGACGCUGAGGAGCGAGAGCGUGGGGAGCGAACAGGAUUAGAUACCCCUGUAGUCCCUGUCUCUUAUAA
This 308-nucleotide ribosomal RNA is filed under the name uncultured bacterium. RNAcentral's name for it is "partial 16S ribosomal RNA". It matches the Rfam family "Bacterial small subunit ribosomal RNA", at positions 505 to 809 of the family's 1533-position model. The record is from RNAcentral.